Molecule: ribosomal RNA, 259 nt
Filed under: uncultured bacterium
Lineage: Bacteria
Description: partial small subunit ribosomal RNA
Rfam family: Bacterial small subunit ribosomal RNA
Source: RNAcentral
AGAAUCAACGCUGGCGGCGUGCUUAACACAUGCAAGUCGAACGAGGUCUGUAGCAAUACAGAUACUCGUGGCGAACGGGUGCGUAACACGUGGAUAACCUUCCUUCAGGUGGGGAAUAACCCAGUGAAAAUUGGGCUAAUACCGCAUAACAUGACGAUGCCACAUGGUGUUGUCUUCAAAGGCGCAAGUCGCCAGAAGAGGGAUCCGCGGCCGAUUAGCUAGUUGGCGAGGUAAUGGCUCACCAAGGCAAUGAUCGGUA